CAGUCGCCGCGGGAAUACGAAGGGGGCUAGCGUUGUUCGGAAUUACUGGGCGUAAAGCGCACGUAGGCGGCUUUGUAAGUCAGAGGUGAAAGCCUGGAGCUCAACUCCAGAAUUGCCUUUGAGACUGCAUCGCUUGAACGUCGGAGAGGUGAGUGGAAUUCCGAGUGUAGAGGUGAAAUUCGUAGAUAUUCGGAAGAACACCAGUGGCGAAGGCGGCUCACUGGACGACUGCUGACGCUGAGGUGCGAAAGCGUGGGGAGCAAACAGGAUUAGAUACCCCCGUAGUCCCUGUCUCUUAUAA
This 301-nucleotide ribosomal RNA is filed under the name uncultured bacterium. RNAcentral describes it as "partial 16S ribosomal RNA". It matches the Rfam family "Bacterial small subunit ribosomal RNA", at positions 509 to 809 of the family's 1533-position model. The record is from RNAcentral.